Molecule: ribosomal RNA, 839 nt
Filed under: Microbacterium sp. ER-21
Lineage: Bacteria; Bacillati; Actinomycetota; Actinomycetes; Micrococcales; Microbacteriaceae
Description: bacterial SSU rRNA
Rfam family: Bacterial small subunit ribosomal RNA
Source: RNAcentral
UGCAAGUCGAACGGUGAAGCAGAGCUUGCUCUGUGGAUCAGUGGCGAACGGGUGAGUAACACGUGAGCAAUCUGCCCCUGACUCUGGGAUAAGCGCUGGAAACGGCGUCUAAUACCGGAUACGAGCUGCGAAGGCAUCUUCAGCAGCUGGAAAGAACUUCGGUCAGGGAUGAGCUCGCGGCCUAUCAGCUUGUUGGUGAGGUAACGGCUCACCAAGGCGUCGACGGGUAGCCGGCCUGAGAGGGUGACCGGCCACACUGGGACUGAGACACGGCCCAGACUCCUACGGGAGGCAGCAGUGGGGAAUAUUGCACAAUGGGCGAAAGCCUGAUGCAGCAACGCCGCGUGAGGGACGACGGCCUUCGGGUUGUAAACCUCUUUUAGCAGGAAAGAAGCGAAAGUGACGGUACCUGCAGAAAAAGCGCCGGCUAACUACGUGCCAGCAGCCGCGGUAAUACGUAGGGCGCAAGCGUUAUCCGGAAUUAUUGGGCGUAAAGAGCUCGUAGGCGGUCUGUCGCGUCUGCUGUGAAAACCCGAGGCUCAACCUCGGGCCUGCAGUGGGUACGGGCAGACUAGAGUGCGGUAGGGGAGAUUGGAAUUCCUGGUGUAGCGGUGGAAUGCGCAGAUAUCAGGAGGAACACCGAUGGCGAAGGCAGAUCUCUGGGCCGUAACUGACGCUGAGGAGCGAAAGGGUGGGGAGCAAACAGGCUUAGAUACCCUGGUAGUCCACCCCGUAAACGUUGGGAACUAGUUGUGGGGUCCAUUCCACGGAUUCCGUGACGCAGCUAACGCAUUAAGUUCCCCGCCUGGGGAGUACGGCCGCAAGGCUAAAACUCAAAG